GGGUUUCAAGGAUGGAUGGUAGCUCACUCAAUUUCAUCUGAAAGAAUUUAGGGGCAAUAAUCUAUGAAGAGAACAAAGGAGGUUCGAAGGCUCGUCCCGAUCCCAUCUGCAACAGGGAUCAACAUUGUUUAUAUCUCUCCUUCAAAGACGUGUGAUUGCACGCACACCCCGACAUAGCAGAAAUUCCAAGUGAUUGGUCCCUGGGCCUUUGGUCACUCUUUGCUCUCCACUCCGUUUUGCAU
This 242-nucleotide long non-coding RNA is filed under the name Coffea arabica (coffee). RNAcentral's name for it is "long non-coding RNA (CARA_LNC001332)". The record is from RNAcentral. Lineage: Eukaryota; Viridiplantae; Streptophyta; Magnoliopsida; Gentianales; Rubiaceae.